RNAcentral lists this long non-coding RNA (684 nucleotides) under Sinocyclocheilus anshuiensis. Its description in RNAcentral is "lncRNA (ENSSANG00000042085.1)". Lineage: Eukaryota; Metazoa; Chordata; Actinopteri; Cypriniformes; Cyprinidae. The record is from RNAcentral.
GCCAUGCAUACCGAAACAUGCAGUAUGCUUCCCAUUACGGAGCAUUUCUCUGCCUUGCUGCAUGAAUCAUGGGUAGCCUAAGAGUGCAGGAGAGUGAAGAGAACACCGCUCUGUGAAGAUCUCCCAUGGGACACCUGUUUUAACUUAGUGCAAUCCAUCAUAUAGCCACUACCCGCUGCAGGCCAGACGAGACAGCUGUCCCUCAGGUCCUCUCCUUGUCUGCGCGUCUGCCCUGCUGCAACAGGUGAGAAGAACAUGUAAUGCUAUAUGUAGAACACUGACUUAAACUGCUUGACCUCUGGCAAGGGUGGUCAAAGGUCAACUCACUUGACAUCUCUGCCCACAUCUUACUGAUGAACACACUCGGACCGCGUCUGAUGAGCGCUUCAACGCACAUCUGUGCAUGGCAAGAGGCAUUUUUAAUUUCACUGGAGGAUAAAAAGCCAGCGGCAGAGCUCCAUCCAUUUUGUAUGGUACCUUAAUUUCACACAGCCCACAGAAAAAUUGGCAGUCGAUUUGUUUUUUGAAGAUCCCUCCAUUGAUAGUAAUGCAUGUGAGACAAACAAUAUCAAGUGCAGGCGUAAAAUGACACAUGGAAGUAAUGCAUUUUUAAUUUCACUGGAGGAUAAAAAGCCAGCGGCAGAGCUCCAUCCAUUUUGUAUGGUACCUUAAUUUCACACAGCC